ACAAGUAUACUAGGAAAAUAUGUUAGGAAUUUUUUUAUAUUAAAGGUCAAGUGUAAUAAAAAUAGAUUUGAAAAUAAAGUUUAUAAUUCAUUAAAACCCAUUUUGAAAAGUUUAUUGAUGUGUUUAUUUUUUUUUAAAGUCCAGGUAAAUGCGCAAAAUACCUAUUCCAAAAUCGUUGUUUAUAGAAACGAAUGAAGGGAUUGUCACCCUUUCUUAUGACGUCAUCUGAGACAAUUGUAGUUGUUUACGCCUGUAUAUCAUCAUUUUAAUUUCUGUGAGAAAUUGCCAGUUUUAGCAACACCGUGGAUAGUGACGAUGAAAUACCGUAGAUACACUUGAGUUUAGGGAUUCAACCUUUAUAAUGAUGUCCAGUUAAUCAUCACUUUGCACUUUGUUUGGAGUCAAACAGGAUGAUGGAAACCUGAUCCUCGUUAAUUAAAGUGUCACUCACUGAUCCUCGUGGCUUGUCACAAAUCUCAGUGUCUCUUUUCAGUUUCAGUAUCCAAAUUCUUCGAAAUUUAGUAUCUUUUGGGAAAAGAAAUAUACUUAAUCCCUGUCCCGAUUUCACAUUGCAGUUCAAAGCAGCGCAUUGUACCAUAAAUACAGGACUUUUCUAUGUAAACACUAUAAAACCCUAUCAAUGCAGUCGAAAGUUGUCUCAGAUGACGUCAUAAGCUACGAGCGAUAACUCACGUCACAACACAUUUAUCGAUCGCUCAGGUAAAAGUUUGAUAGCGCCAUGUAAUUCACGCCAAGUGAUUUUUAUCAAUAUUGCCAUGGAAAUUAAUCCAUAAGUGUACGACAGACAUUUUUCUGUAUAAAACUCAAGUUUUAGGAAAAUCACCGUACUUGACCUUUAAAUUUAUGAGACACACAAGAAUACAACAUUUUCUCUUUCUUCCUUUGAAGUUUGUGUCCAUCAGGCCGUCAUGUUUUCUAAUGCCGACUACUUCCGUAUAAGGAAAUUUGGGCGGACUUAUACAUAUGGACCAAUGAGAGUUUCUGUUGCAUUUCGCAAUUGUAUUACAAACAGAUUCAAUUGUGUCGUCACACAACGCAAUACUCUAUCGGCCAAAGCGUUCAAAUUCAAAGGUGAAUUGUGAUAAAAAGUAAUAAUGAAGAACUGCUCAUCCUUAUUAUUCUGAUCUAAAUUGAAAUGCUGAGGACUACGAAAAGUCACAUGCGGGACACAUAGAUGUAAUGAAGACCAAGAAUUUUUUGUACAGGCAUAUCAUUUGUCAGUAAUUACAAUUAAUUUCUACAAAAAUUUCUUAAAGAGACACUACAGCUCAUUUUGCUUAAAAAUCAUGAAAUGACAAUUUUCC
Ostrea edulis (European flat oyster) is the source of this 1325-nucleotide long non-coding RNA. RefSeq lists it as uncharacterized. The record is from RefSeq and is a predicted model, not a curated record. NCBI's taxonomy places the organism in Eukaryota, Metazoa, Mollusca, Bivalvia, Ostreida, Ostreidae. The transcript has 2 exons.